Long non-coding RNA from Diabrotica virgifera virgifera (western corn rootworm), 848 nucleotides. RefSeq lists it as uncharacterized. The record is from RefSeq and is a predicted model, not a curated record. The transcript has 2 exons. Lineage: Eukaryota; Metazoa; Arthropoda; Insecta; Coleoptera; Chrysomelidae.
AGGCCGUUCCAAGAUGCUGUCAAAAUUAAAUCAAUAUGGCUACCGGAAGGCAAACAUUGAAUAUUAUUCUAUCAGGUUCUUAUGGUUUUAGAUCAUUUUAGUUGUUGUACAAAGAUUAAUUUAACAUUUUCUCUGGAAGUAUUAAUUUAGAAAGAUAAUAUGCCUCAUUGGUGUUGUGUUUUGAAGUGUGAAAUGCAAAGUAAUCGUGAUAAAGUUAGCUUUUACCACUUACCAUCAGUGCUACAUUCUAAGCACAAAACUGAACCAAUUUAACUAAAUAAGUUAUAGUUAUCAUCUGAGAGACAACAACAAUGGUAAAAUGCAAUAAAAUAUUAAGAUUUUACUAGCAAAAUGGAAAUUCCCCUGUAAUCAUCUUAUAUCUGGUAAGUUACAACAUUUGAACAUUAACCAUUUUUGAAGAUGUUAACAGUCUAAUCUUGUAGGAAAACCAGCCGACUUAACUGAUAAUAACAAUUCAGAUUGGGUUCCUUCAAUAAAUAUGGGGUAUAUAAACACAAUGAAAUGAGUUCCCCAAAAUCUAAAAUGGGAAUUAAGGUACCAAAGGAGAAUUAAAAGAAAAGGGUACCUACAAGAAAAAAUUGCUUUUUUAUUCCUCUUGAAAUGAUUUAUAAGACACUGGACUGUCUUAUAUUCUACAAAUACUAGAAUCAGCUGAGAGAAGUGGUCUACAAAAACCCAGGAAGGAAACGGAAUAUGUGGCUACGAAAGGCAAAAGAAAGGUUUACAAAGCAAAUGUGACACAUUUUUUUGAAAUAUUUAGGAAUAUCAGUAAAUUGCAUUAAAAAAAUGUAUGAAAAGAUUUUGUUCAAUAAAAAUGUUUAUAUUUA